RNAcentral lists this ribosomal RNA (7356 nucleotides) under Triticum aestivum (bread wheat). RNAcentral describes it as "partial small subunit ribosomal RNA". The record is from RNAcentral. Lineage: Eukaryota; Viridiplantae; Streptophyta; Magnoliopsida; Poales; Poaceae.
AUGGGGGAGCAAGACCCGCUGCCGCAGCUCCCGCUCGCCCUCCAUCCACCGCAUCUGAUCCCUCCGGCGCCCACUCCCGACCACCGCGCCCUCUCGUUCCUCCCCGACUUCGGCGGCCUCCCCUGGGUCUCCUACGCCGCGGGCUCCCUCCUCGUCGUCUCCCACCUCCCCUCCCCUCCCCGUACCAGCGGAAGCGACACCGUGGAAGACGAAUCCCCAUUCUUCUGCCAAGUCAUCGACCUCCACACCCCUGUGUCCGCCGUCGCCUGGUGCGGCCGCGGGAGAGGCGAGCUCGCCGCCGCGUCCGGCAACUCCGUUUCCGUUUUCCAGCCCUCACCUUCCUCAGGUUCAUUCAGUUGGCUCCUGAGAUGGGUCAUCACCGAGACGUUCACGGUCACCGCCAUCGCCUGGACGGGUUCCGGCGACGGCAUCGUGGUGGUCGGUGGUGGCGUUGCCAUGUGGGCCAGGGUGCAAUCCUCCUGGCAGCUUGCUUGGAGGUCCACACCACAGGUGCCGCAGUCCCUCGUCUCUGCUACCCACUUCGUCCACGCCCCUGUCGUGGCGGCGUCAGCUGCUGCUUCUGUGGAGGGCAAUGUGCCUGUGCUGGUAUUUCUGAAUGAUGCCAAAUUGGGUCUGGAGACUGUUGAGCUUCUGCAUCCUCAGCCCGUUUCCAUGAUCCAGUGGAGGCCUUUGACGUUAUCUGUCGGUGAUCCAUCUGAAGUGAGGAGAGAGAUCCUGAUGACCUGCUGCUUGGAUGGAACUGCUCGGCUAUGGACUGGGGCUGAGGUGACCAGGUCGAAGAAGCAGCCUACUUCGCGAAGAUCUUUCAGCAUCGUUGCAGUGAUUGAGUUGGACAACAUUCUAAAUGGAGUGCUUGGAGUUGACAUAUCUGUGAGAUGGGCAGUAGAAACUGGCAGUGUUGUAUCACGAGAUGAAGAAGCUAAGUUCAAGCUGUUUUCAGGUCAUUCCUGGCAGAACAAGGUUGGCAAAUGUGAGUGGCUGGUCAGUGUUGGCCCUGGGCGUUGUACCAAUUUUUGGGCUGCUCAUUGUCUUGAUGAUGUAUCUCCACCAAGGUACCCUCGGAUUACACUAUGGAAGCAGAGCGAACCACAGGCUUGGGAGGAAUCUGCUAUUAACCCAAAAUCUACAGUACAACCAAUUUUUGUUGAGACUGUAAUAUCACGAAGUAUAUGUUCUGGCCCACCCACAAGAUGCUCUUUGCUUCAUUUGCUGCCUGAUAAUUCAUUCAUUUGGUCUCGCCUGGCUUUUGGUUUAUCAUCAGAUUCUGGGAGUCAUGUUUCAUGCGAUUCUUCUAAGAGCAUCUCAUGCUGUUCAACCAAGACUAUUAAUCAAGUUGGACAUAAGGGUAGUAUCAUACAGGUGUCUGUCCAUCCAUAUAGCUGCGAGAUAGAGCUAGCUGUUUCUAUGGAUUCUAGCAGAAUGCUAUUUGUAUGGUCUCUUUCAACCUUAUCAACUCUCAUAUCGACCUUGCAUGCACCCACUUAUCCUUCAUGGAAGCUCCUGUGCAAAUUUGAUCUGCGUGACAUUUCUUCAGAUGCGCAAUAUUCAUGUCUUUGUUGGGCUCCUUCAGUUUUCCAUGAUAACAGGUUUCUUGUCCUGGGAGGUGAAAAUGGAGCUGAUUUAGUUGUCGUCAGAAUUCCAAAUGAUGGUGUUGUUUCAUGUCACAAGAUGUUCACAGUUCCUUUCCUUGGAGGGAGCAAUGCAGAAGAACCACCUGAUAGCAUUCAUACCAUACCUUUAGCUUCUAACUGUAACAAGUCAUUUUUAAACAACAGUUUCCUAAUUGUGUGCGUAUGGAGGAAGAGCUUUCAAGUUUUAUCAUGGAAAGUAGUCCUGCAUUCAGAAAAUCAUCAUGAAGGAAGGGGGUGUUUAUGUGAAUUUUCUGCCAACUCACUUUCCACUGCAGAUCAAGGGAGACAUGUUACUUACGUCCAUGGUGAAAUGUUUGCAGCUGCUAUUUAUGAAGGUUCUACGGUUUUCCCUACUGUCGUGGAUGGACAAUAUCCCACCUGCAUUUCGGUUAUGUCUCUGGACAAUACUGUAUUACCUCUACAACAGCAUGUACCUUUUGCAACUUCCCCAGGUUAUCAUAUUGCUACUGGGUACUCUGAUGGCACUGUUAAACUUUGGAAGAUGUCUGGUGCAGAUAACCCUUUGCAGACUGGGAGAGGGAGCAACAGCUGGGAGCUAGUUGGCAUGUUUGGAGCUCAUCCAGGACCAAUUAGUGCAAUUUCACUAUCCAGAUGUGGUAGAGUUGCUACUGUUGGCAGAAAUGUUCAGAAGAAUAGUACAUCCAUUCAUAUCUGGGAAGCAGUAAAACUCAUGGGAGAUGGGUGUUUUCUCUUGGAAGAUGCACUAAUGAUUCAAAGCGCUGUUGUUGGUUUAGAUUGGCUAUCUUUAGGCAAUGGUAGAUUUUUACUUGCGGUCUGUUUUCGUAAUAAGUUGCACAUAUAUUCCCAUAAGCAUCCUUCCUUUCAGAAUGUGCUGCACACUGCAAAUUUGGAAGAGAAGCAUCUUUGGAGUUGUAUUGCAUUAGCUCAUUCUCAUCAUGAUGUUGCCAGCUUCUGCUGGGGGCCAAAGGCGUCAAUAGUGCUUGUUCAUAACAAUCAUCUUUCACUGUUCAGUUCAUGGUUAGUAAGAGGAGCAAAUGAACGUAUUACCCAGAAAGGCAUUUGUUCUGCCACAGAUGUGCAUGAUAAGUUGCCAUGUACUGUGCAUGUUAAUGAAACUAUCUUUGGUAAAUCUGGGUUAUCUGAAAAUUACAGCAACGCGGAGGCCACUGAGAACAAUAGCACGCUGUUACCAGGCCAACACAAUAGUCAUUGUUCUAAUGGUUUGUGGAACUUGUUGGAUAUAUCUAGUAAUCUGAGUGGACCUUUGGCGCCAUAUCACCCAAGAGCACUUAUCCAUCAUCUUUAUUCAGGUGAAUGGAAACGUGCAGAUGGCAUUCUGCAGCAUCUUGUUGAAUCCAUGAAAGCAAGUACAACAUUAAACACCUUGUUGGACUGUAGUUCAUGCAGUAAAUCAUGCCAGAAUAUCCCUGAACUUCCUUUGUCGCGGUACUUUACGCAUACACCGUCAAGCGAUAUUUCUAGCAAAGGAUUACUGUGGGGUGAGAAUGGAAGUAGCACAGCCUUCAACUUGCUGUCACCAUCAAAUUCAUUUUCUUACAUGACGAGUAAGUUAGGUAUCAAUACCACCACUAGUGCAUCUGAAAGGUCAGAGAUAAGUCAGCUCCUUGAUAAGAACUUUGGCAUGUUUGCAAUAAGUGACACUGAAAAAAUACAGAUACAUGCAGUUUCUGAUCUUUUGGGUGAAAUUACUGAUCAGAACCGUGCUUCUCCCUAUAAAACCCUUGAUGAAGCAGGGCGAAGGUUCUGGAUUGCUGUGCAGUUCCAACGCCUAUAUGUGCCUAGGAGAUCUGGAGAUUCAUCUAGUGCUGAAGGGUGCCAUCUUGAUUCUGCUUCCAUUGCAUGGGCCUUCCAAUCUGAUUGUCAGGAUGAUCUACUUGAUUAUGUUCUUCCAGCAGAAUCGACUUGGUUAGAGAUGCAAAACCUCGGUAUGGGAUUAUGGUAUACGAAUGUGUCCCAGCUAAGGACCAGGAUGGAGAAGUUGGCAAGGUUGCAGUAUCUUAAAAGCAAGGAUCCCAAGGAUUGUGCUCUGCUCUAUAUAGCAUUAAACAGAAUAAAAGUAUUAGUUGGCCUUUUCAAGGUCAGCAGAAAUGAGAAGGAUAAACGUCUGUAUGAGUUUCUCUGCAGGAACUUCCAGGAAGAAAAAAACAAAGCCGCUGCUCUUAAAAAUGCUUAUGUACUACUGGGAAGGCAUCAAUGGGAGCUUGCUAUAGCAUUUUUCGUGCUUGGAGGUGAUACUUCCUCUGCCAUCAAUGUUUGUGCGAAGAACCUUCAAGAUGAACAGCUUGCUAUGGUAAUUUGUCGGCUUGUUGAGGGAUCUGGAGGGCCCUUGGAGCGUAACCUCAUUUCAAAUGUGCUGCUCCCUGAUGCAGUUGAGAAAGGAGACCACUGGCUUUCAAGCCUGCUUGAAUGGAUGCUAGGGAACUACUCCCAGUCUGUCAGUAAAUUAUUUGGCUGCCAUCCCAAGUUACUGUUUGAUGAAUCCGACACUCAUGGUGGUCAGAAUGUGUUUGCAGACCCAGAAUUGGGUCAGUAUUGUGCAAUCCUAUCAACGAAAAAUAGUUUCAGAAACUGUGCUGGUGAAGCUCUAUCUGCAAAAUUGUCUAAGCUUUCAUUUGCACUGGCUGCAUGUGCCUUAAACAGAUGUGGACUACCUCUUGAAGCACUUGAAUGCCUAUCUUGUAAAUCGAGCAUAGUUGAGAAGGACGGCACCAGCUCACAACAUGGUGCAGAUGACAAGAUUCUUGAUGGAAUACUAAAACCUUUCAAUGCUUCUUCCAAUUGGCUUUCAUCAUCUGUCGUUGAUGAUGUUGAAUCAGAACUCAAAGUAACCAUGGCUUCAAAUUAUUUGUCACGCAUGCUGAGAAAUCACUUUCUCUGUGCACAUUGCGGUCUACCAUUAGCUAAAGAUAAGGUCCUUAAAGAGCACAACAGCCAUGGCAUCGAGGAACUUGCGCGUGAUGUUAGUGCUGCAAUAUCCAUAUUUGAUAAAAGGUUCUCACUUCAGUUUUAUGAUGUAGCUGAGAAGAUCCUUACCUCCUGUUCUCAUGAUGGUUUAUUAUUUCUUGCACAUGUUCUGCUAUCAGUUUGUAGAUCACCAGAUGGUGGAACUAAUAGUCAUUGUCUUGAAGGUUGCGCUUCCCGUUCGAUUGACUAUCUGUUGUUGGUGUCAUGCAAGGAGAGUUUUAAAUUUCUUACUCGAUAUGUUGUCUCCUGCUGCUUCAUCUGUUCUGUUCUUAAUACAGACCUCACCAAUAUUACUGCAUGUACACCUUUGGAAAACAUGAAAUAUAUUAUAGCAACUUUAUCACAUUAUCUGAGUACUAGCAGGCUACUCCUGAAACAUGACCUCAGUAGAACUUCUGCAUUGGACAAGACAUCAGCCAUAUCUACUGUUAUUGAUCUCCUUGAUUACAACAUAGCCUUUUCUGUUUCGUGGCUAUGCCAUGACAUAAAGGCAUUACUUAUCAUGAGCAAUCCAGUGUUAGGUGCUUCUGCGAAUGAUGAGUCAUUUCAAGUAUUAUUAGACCGAUUGAUGCAAGCUGCGCACCAUAAAAGUCAUGGUAUAUCAAUUAACACAGAGGCAGUAAUGCCCAAUGGUUCAUUGGACAAGAGACAACCAGGAGGAAGUGAGGAUUCAAGUCUUUCAAUUGAUGAAAAGUGGCAUUUGAUAGGUGCUUCCUUGUGGAUUGGAUUGUCAUCCUUUAUGAAACAUCUCUUAAAAGAGUUCAUUGGAAACGAGAAACUUGAAUGUGAAGCUUGUACAAGUGACGUGAAGGAAUUUAAGGGUCUUGCCUCUUCAGUUGCUGCAAAGUUUGUUAUUGAUUCCCUGCAAUUUGUGUCGUCUUCAUUAGUAAGACUCCAUGCAUCAUUUUUCAGAGACAAAUUAUCAAAUAAUUUACAUCCGAGUGUGCUUUUCUGGUUAGAAUAUAUGUCGUCUCAGCCAAGGUCCAACAAGACUAGCCGUGAUCAGCUCGCAUAUAUAGCUCAGGGCACAAACACUGAGAACAUGGAGGUGUUGUUUCAUGUUUUGUGGGAAAUAUCUGCUAACUCUGUGGAUAUAUGUGCAGCAUUUGUGAAUGAAGACGUGAAUUGCUUUCCGUUAAACAACACAAAGCUCAGUAGAUCUUGGAAGAAUAUGGUUGAAAGUACAAAAGUUGAGUGUGAAAACGAUUCUACUCAAAGUAAUGGAGGAGAAAAUAAAUGCAGUGUUAGCUCCAAGGACAAUGAGAAAGGGCGUGGAUUUGUUGACAAGGCUUCUUCUGAUGUGGAAACCUCUCUUGAACCUAAAAGGAAAUGCCUGAUCGAAGAAAAAGGCUUUCAAAGCCCAAAGGAACUUCUAAGGAGAAAUGGGGAACUUCUUGAGGCAAUAUGUCUCGACUCAACCAAUGAGCAACAUGCUGCUAUUGCUACCAACCGAAAGGGUCUUGUUUUUUUCAACUGGUAUGGUAAUCAACAGGAUAAGAAAUCAGCAGAGUAUAUUUGGUCAGGAUCUGAGUGGCCAUCAGAUGGUUGGGCUUGUUCUGAAACUACACCUGCUGCAACUCUUAUUUCACCUAGUGUUGGUCCUGGCAGAAGAAGAGGAUCUCAUCUUGGUUCAGAUGGGGCAAAUAUUGGUGUAGGUUCUUUGGCGAAACCUGGAAGAGACUUAACUGGGGGUGGAGCAUUUGGAAUUCCAGGUUAUGCUGGUAUUGGGGCAUCAGGGUUUGGGUGGGGCGAACCCGACGAAUUUGAGGAUUUUGUUGAUCCUCCAGCAACCCUUGAGAAUAUCCAUUCAAGAGCACUAUCACGCCAUCCCUCUUUGCCAUUGUUGCUAGUGGGGUCAAGCAAUACACAUGUGUAUUUAUGGGAGUUUGGUAAAGAUAGUGCAAGAGCUACAUAUGGUGUUCUCCCUGCUGCUAAUAUUCCACCACCUUAUGCACUUGCUUCCAUAUCGGCUGUUCAAUUUGAUUAUUACGGGCAGCGGUUUGCAACUGCUGCAUUAGAUGGUACAGUUUGUACAUGGCAAGUUGAGGUGGGUGGAAGAAGCAAUGUCCAUCCUACAGAGUCAUCCUUGUGCUUUAACAGCCAUGCUUCUGAUGUUGCGUAUGUGGAUGCAAGUGGAUCUGUUCUUACUGCAGCUGGAUGCAAUUCAAAUGGCGCAAAUGUUGUUAUCUUGGAUAUGCUAGCUCCACCAGCCACUUGUCAAACUUCUAUUGUGUGUCAUGAAGGAGGAGCCCGUUCUCUUUCUGUGUUCGACAACAACAUAGGCUGUGGAUCCAUCUCACCGCUGAUUGUAACUGGUGGGAAAAGUGGAGAUGUGGCAUUGCAUGAUUUCCGGUUCGUUUCUACUGGAAAGAGUAAGCAUCACAAAACUUCUGCUGGGGGUAGCUCCCGUGGGAUGAUUUGGCAUAUACCGAAGGCUCAUUUAGGGAGUGUCACCAGUCUAUCGACCAUUCCAGAUACCACCUUAUUCUUGACUGGAAGCAAAGAUGGAGAUGUAAAGCUUUGGGAUGCUAAAAAUUCCCAGCUAGUCUUUCAUUGGCCGAAGUUGCAUGAGCGGCACACUUUUUUUCAACCAACCUCCAGGGGCUUUGGUGGUGUUGUUAGGGCUGCUGUAACAGAUAUCCAUGUCUUGACUAAUGGUUUCGUUUCGUGUGGUGGCGAUGGUUCUGUGAAGCUUGUGCAGAUAAAGAAUGAGUUUGCCACAGUACAUCAGGACUAG